AUAAAUAGUUAUUGCGUCCGCUUCACUCAUCAUGUCCAAAAUGUUGGACCAAGAUGGUCCUUCCUCCUGUAUCUGUAACCCAAGUGUCUACCGGAACUGCUCAGGGUCGUUACUCGUUACCAACUGGUAGCGAGGUCACGAGGACUAUCUUCUAUGGUGUUACUGGUAUCGGUAUCAGAACUACCGUCUAUUGUGUUACUGGUAUCGGUAUCAGAACUGUUGUUAUGUGUUUAAUUUUUCAUUGCUAUGUGCUCAGCAGUUCCUCGACUUCCGAGAACGGCACUUUGUUGUCCGACCAAAAUAAAUCAGUUCGGAUGAGAAACCCAUGCUUU
RNAcentral lists this long non-coding RNA (332 nucleotides) under Oryza sativa (Asian cultivated rice). Its description in RNAcentral is "long non-coding RNA (OSAT_LNC000438)". The record is from RNAcentral. Lineage: Eukaryota; Viridiplantae; Streptophyta; Magnoliopsida; Poales; Poaceae.